This 218-nucleotide unclassified non-coding RNA is filed under the name plant metagenome. RNAcentral's name for it is "partial contains small subunit ribosomal RNA, internal transcribed spacer 1, and 5.8S ribosomal RNA". The record is from RNAcentral.
UCUCCGUUGGUGAACCAGCGGAGGGAUCAUUACUGAAGUUACCCUUCAAAACCCAUUGUGAACCAUACCUCUUGCCGCGUUGUCUCGGCGGGAGGCGCUGGGGCCUCGGCUCCGCGUCCCCGCCGGCAGCGCCAAACUCUAAACUGCAAAGCGUACUGCAUGUUCUGAUUUACAAAAAAAACAAGUUAAAACUUUCAACAACGGAUCUCUUGGUUCUG